RNAcentral lists this ribosomal RNA (464 nucleotides) under Vreelandella stevensii. RNAcentral's name for it is "partial 16S ribosomal RNA". It matches the Rfam family "Bacterial small subunit ribosomal RNA", at positions 338 to 795 of the family's 1533-position model. Lineage: Bacteria; Pseudomonadati; Pseudomonadota; Gammaproteobacteria; Oceanospirillales; Halomonadaceae. The record is from RNAcentral.
CCUACGGGGGCUGCAGUGGGGAAUAUUGGACAAUGGGGGCAACCCUGAUCCAGCCAUGCCGCGUGUGUGAAGAAGGCCCUCGGGUUGUAAAGCACUUUCAGUGAGGAAGAACGCCUGGUGGUUAAUACCCAUCAGGAAAGACAUCACUCACAGAAGAAGCACCGGCUAACUCCGUGCCAGCAGCCGCGGUAAUACGGAGGGUGCGAGCGUUAAUCGGAAUUACUGGGCGUAAAGCGCGCGUAGGUGGCUUGAUAAGCCGGUUGUGAAAGCCCCGGGCUCAACCUGGGAACGGCAUCCGGAACUGUCAAGCUAGAGUGCAGGAGAGGAAGGUAGAAUUCCCGGUGUAGCGGUGAAAUGCGUAGAGAUCGGGAGGAAUACCAGUGGCGAAGGCGGCCUUCUGGACUGACACUGACACUGAGGUGCGAAAGCGUGGGUAGCAAACAGGAUUAGAUACCUGAGUAGUC